AAGAGGUGAAUGAAGCCCCUGUCCCAGCACCGGCCCAGUGGGGUGAGCCUUGCAUACCCCGUGAGGACUACCAAUAUACAUUAGCUUUUGUCCUUUCUGUGCCCUAAAGCUGUCUCUAUCUGCCCAAGCCCCUCCUGUCUUCCCAUCCACUGACCCCUUCCCCUACACUUCAGCCACACUUCUGUACUCCCUAAAGCCCCUAAGUAAGGCUCCACGCCCAGCUCUGGGCUCCUGAGUGGCAGGAAAGAUACUUAGCGCUCACUGAGACUGGUCUGGCCCCAGCAUGAAAUUAACACCUCUUACACAGUCCCAGGAGAGCGUGCUCUUAGGUCUCCAGCUACCCCGAGGUGGCACAGAGUAGCCAUUACCGGGGCUUCCUAUGCAAAGCCCUUCAGGCUCCAUUAGUGCAGGUGAGCAGACAGCAAACAGCUCAGAGCUGAAAGGAAGGAAGCCCUGGUGUUCCGAGGGAGAUGUAUACUGUGUGGGCCUGUAUGUGCGUUCCCACAGGCACCUGUCUGUACACACGUGUGCACGUGUUCAGACACAUGCUUGCAGGCCAGUGUGCAUCCGAUACGUGAUGGUAUACAGGUGUACACACGUGUUUAUACAUGUGUGCAAGACAUUGUGUAUAUGUGUCAUGCACGGGUGUGGACAUGUUCCUGUGUAUGUGCACAGAUUCCUGUGCAUAGACAUGUGCACGUGUGCUGCUGGUAUGAG
This 717-nucleotide long non-coding RNA is filed under the name Rattus norvegicus (Norway rat). RNAcentral describes it as "long non-coding RNA NONRATT017662". Lineage: Eukaryota; Metazoa; Chordata; Mammalia; Rodentia; Muridae. The record is from RNAcentral.